CAGAGGAGGAAAGAGAUAGACAAACCAAGAAACAGACUCUAACCAUAGAGAACAAACUGAUGGUACCAGAGGGGAGGUGGGUGGGGACAGGGUGGUGGUGGGGGAGGGGCUG
RNAcentral lists this long non-coding RNA (112 nucleotides) under Mustela putorius furo (domestic ferret). RNAcentral describes it as "lncRNA (ENSMPUG00000029234.1)". The record is from RNAcentral. Lineage: Eukaryota; Metazoa; Chordata; Mammalia; Carnivora; Mustelidae.